Molecule: long non-coding RNA, 395 nt
Filed under: Elaeis guineensis (African oil palm)
Lineage: Eukaryota; Viridiplantae; Streptophyta; Magnoliopsida; Arecales; Arecaceae
Description: long non-coding RNA (EGUI_LNC070074)
Source: RNAcentral
UUGAAGUCCGACUGAUGCUAUUGAAGGUUGAUGGCUGGGGAGGUAUGACAGAGACCGGAGGCGAUCGACCAUUGUAGAAAUCUAGCUGUUGGAGCUCAUCUGUUGUAGAAGUUCAUCCAGAAUCUAUCCGCUAUAGAAGUUCAGACGAAGUUCAGUUCUUGUAGAAGGCUGAAAGGAGGCCGCUUAUUGUAGAAGCUCAGUCGAAGAUCGGUUAUCGUGGAAGCUCAGAGUAGUGACUUGGCUGGUGGAGCCUGUCCCAUUGUAGAAGCUCGAUCGGCAUUCGUCCACUGUAGGAGCUCGACUGGGAUCCGACUAUGAAGAAGCUCAGCUGAAGUCUGCUUGUAAUAGAAGUUCAGAAGGAAUUCGUUUACAGUAGAGGCUCGGAUGGAAUUCAC